Non-coding RNA from Triticum aestivum (bread wheat), 124 nucleotides. The record is from Rfam. Lineage: Eukaryota; Viridiplantae; Streptophyta; Magnoliopsida; Poales; Poaceae.
AUGAUACUCCCUCUGUCCGGAAAUACUUGACUUAGAAAUGGAUAAAAUUGAUGUAUCUAUAACUAAUUUAAGUCUAGAUACAACCAUUUUUAGGACAUGUAUUUCCGGAUGGAGGGAGUAGAAA